CUGCAGCUAUCAGCAAGGCCAGCCCAGAGAAAGAAAGGCAACAAUAGACCAACAAAGAUGCCAUAGGCCACGCCUUCCUGCUUUAUCCUCCUCCUGUAUCCCUUCAUUCUUCUUCUCCUCUUUCCUCCCCUCCCAAACUCCUUCCUUCCCUCAUUCCUCCACUUUCAUCUCUUUGCUAUUUCUAGAAAGAAUCUUUUGUCUUGCUAGGCAGAGCAUUUAUAACAAAGGAAAGACAGGAGGUGUAGAUGAUGAAGCAGAGUAGAGCACUUUUAACUGCAAGAGUGUUAGGAUAUGAACACUGCUGUUAGGAUAGAAAAGAGAAAAUCCUCAGACAUUUUUUUUUUCCAGAGCAAGAGAAAAUCCAGUGACUGAAAAAGAAUAAGAAGAAAAACACUGACCAAGGCAAUAAUUCCAAGAAGUCAAAAAUUAAGGCCUGAGAGGAAGAAGGCAGACUAAAGAAAGUAGGUAAGACAGUGACCUGAACGAAAGUGCUGGCUCCAUGCUCUGUGACGUUGGGCGUCCUCACUGACCUCGGAAGCAUGGUCUUGGUGACACUGGUCAGGUGCAUGAAGUGUUAGAAAAUUUUAUUAAAGAUUCCAUGGUUGCA
Molecule: long non-coding RNA, 607 nt
Filed under: Homo sapiens (human)
Lineage: Eukaryota; Metazoa; Chordata; Mammalia; Primates; Hominidae
Description: novel transcript
Source: RNAcentral